Molecule: ribosomal RNA, 253 nt
Filed under: Baekduia sp.
Lineage: Bacteria; Bacillati; Actinomycetota; Thermoleophilia; Solirubrobacterales; Baekduiaceae
Also listed under: 1 other name
Description: partial 16S ribosomal RNA
Rfam family: Bacterial small subunit ribosomal RNA
Source: RNAcentral
UACGUAGGGGGCAAGCGUUGUCCGGAAUCAUUGGGCGUAAAGCGCGUGUAGGCGGCUCGGUAAGUCCGCUCUGAAAGUCCGGGGCUCAACCCCGGGAGGCGGGUGGAUACUGUCGAGCUCGAGUCCGGAAGAGGCGAGUGGAAUUCCUGGUGUAGCGGUGAAAUGCGCAGAUAUCAGGAGGAACACCGAUGGCGAAGGCAGCUCGCUGGGACGUGACUGACGCUGAGACGCGAAAGCGUGGGGAGCAAACAGG